Molecule: ribosomal RNA, 2482 nt
Filed under: human gut metagenome
Description: bacterial LSU rRNA
Rfam family: Bacterial large subunit ribosomal RNA
Source: RNAcentral
UGAAGUAAGUAAGGGCGUACGGUGAAUGCCUUGGUGCCAACAGGCGAAGAAGGACGCGGCAAGCUGCGAAAAACCUCGGGAAGCUGCAAGCAAGCGAUGAUCCGGGGGUGUCCGAAUGGGGUAACCUGACUGGGGUAAUACCUGGUCGUUCAUACCUGAAUACAUAGGGUAUGAAACGCAAUACCCGCUGAAGUGAAACAUCUCAGUAAGCGGAGGAAAAGAAAGAGAAAUCGAUUCCGUAAGUAGUGGCGAGCGAAAGCGGAUGGAGCCCAAACCGAAGGUACUCCUUCGGGGUUGUAGGACCACGACAUAUUCGACCAUAGUGGAUAGUAGAACAGUCUGGAAAGGCUGGCCAUAGAAGGUGAAAGCCCUGUAGACGAAAUCCAGAGUGGGAAUUAGUGGUAUCCUGAGUAAUACAUCACACGUGGAACGAUGUAUGAAUCAGCGCGGACCACCGCGCAAGGCUAAAUACUAGUUGGCGACCGAUAGUGAACAAGUACCGCGAGGGAAAGGUGAAAAGAACCGCUGUGAGCGGAGUGAAAUAGAACCUGAAACCGUAUGUCUACAAAGUGUCAGAGCAGAGCAAUCUGCGAUGGCGUGCCUUUUGUUUAAUGAGUCUGCGAGUCAGUGUUUGUGGCAAGACUAAGGGCUUCCGGCCCGGAGUCGCAGCGAAAGCAAGUCCGAAUAGGGCGCAUUAAGUCGCAGGUACUGGACCCGAAGCGGAGGUGACCUACCCUUGGCCAGGUUGAAGCAUGGGUAAAACCAUGUGGAGGACCGAACAGGUGAACGUUGAAAAGUUCUCUGAUGAGCUGAGGGUAGGAGUGAAAGGCUAAUCAAACCCCGUGAUAGCUGGUUCUCUUCGAAAUGCAUUUAGGUGCAGCGUCACGUGCUGAUGCGCGGGGGUAGAGCACUGACAAGGCUAGGGGGCACACCCGCUUACCAAACCUUAUCAAACUCCGAAUACCGUGCAAUGGAACGUGGCAGUGAGACAGUGGGGGAUAAGCUUCAUUGUCGAGAGGGAAACAACCCAGACCAGCAGCUAAGGUGCCUAAAUAACGCUGAGUGGAAAGGAUGUGGGAUUACACAGACAGUGAGGAUGUUGGCUUAGAAGCAGCCACCAUUUAAAAAAUGCGUAAUAGCUUACUCAUCGAGUGAUCCUGCGCCGAAAAUGAUUGGCGAUCAAGCGUUAUACCGAAGCUCUGGACUUUGCCGCAAGGCAGAGUGGUAGAAGAGCGUUGCAUGCGCAUUGAAGGGUGAUGGCGACUGACCCUGGAGCGCAUGCAAGUGAGUAUGCAGACAUGAGUAACGUAAAGCCGGGUGAAAUCCCCGGCCGCCGUAAACCCGAGGUUUCCAGGGCAACGUGUUUCGUCCCUGGGUUAGCCGGGACCUAAGCCGAGGCCGAGAGGCGUAGGCGAUGGAUAUCAGGUUAAUAAUCCUGAGCUCGCGACCCUUAAACUGGGGGGACGCAUGAGAAGAGAUGACCAGGUUAUUGAAUUCCGAGCUGGGUCCACGGACCCAGCGCAUCAUCAAAUCGAGUGCCAAGAAAAGCCCCAGCGUAUGCUAAGCGACCCGUACCGCAAACCGACACAGGUGGGUGGGUAGAAUAUACCAAGGCGUAAGAGUGAAACCUGGUUAAGGAACUCGGCAAAUUAGCCCCGUAACUUCGGAAGAAGGGGUGCCUGCAGCGAUGCAGGCCGCAGAGAAAUGGCCCAACCGACUGUUUAUCAAAAACACAGCACUCUGCAAAGACGCAAGUCGAAGUAUAGGGUGUGACACGUGACCAAUGCCGAAAGAUUAAGGCAAGGGGUUAGCCGCAAGGCGAAGCUCUGAACCCAAGUCCCGGUGAAUGUCGGCCGUAACUAUAACGGUCCUAAGGUAGCGAAAUUCCUUGUCGGGUAAGUUCCGACCUGCACGAAUCGUGAAACGAGUUGGGCACUGUCUCAACCAGGCGCUCAGUGAAAUUGUAGUGGCGGUGAAGAUGCCGCCUACCCGCAGAAGGACGGAAAGACCCUAUAGACCUUAACUGUAAGCUGUCAUUGUUUCUUCGGUUUUAAUGCUCAGAGUAAGUGGGAGACGCUGAAGAUGCCCUUUAGGGGGCAUCCGAGUCAUCAAUGAGACACCACCCUUUGAAACUGGAGGAUCUAACCCUGAGCCGUGAAUCCGGCCAGAGGACCGUGUCAGCCGGUCAGUUUUACUGGGGCGGUAUCCUCCCAAAGAGUAACGGAGGAGCGCGAAGGUGGGCUCAGCCCGGUUGGCAACCGGGUGUCGAGUGCAUGGGCAUAAGCCCGCCUAACUGUGAGACCAACAAGUCGAGCAGAUGCGAAAGCAGGCCCAAGUGAUCCGGCGGUAGAAAGUGGAAUUGCCGUCGCUCAACGGAUAAAAGGUACCUUAGGGAUAACAGGCUGAUCACGCCCAAGAGUUCAUAUCGACGGCGUGGUUUGGCACCUCGAUGUCGGCUCGUCGCAUCCUGGGGCUGGAGAAG